Molecule: long non-coding RNA, 442 nt
Organism: Chelonus insularis
Lineage: Eukaryota; Metazoa; Arthropoda; Insecta; Hymenoptera; Braconidae
Exons: 3
Source: RefSeq, a predicted model, not a curated record
ACCUCCGGUCGCAGUUAAUAUCUAGCAAGCAUUCAGCAAACAUUACAAUAGUCGUUGCUAUUUCUGAGUCAAAAAGUGAUAUUAUAUUAUCAAGUAUGAAGUUCUUCUGGGCACUUCUUUUCAUUCUUUCUGCAUUGAUGUAUGGCACCAGUGCUCAAGGUUAUGGAUAUGGAAGAGGUAACAUGGGAAGAGGUAAUAUGGGAAGAGGUAACAUGGGAUAUGGAAACCGUGGUAUGGGCAGAGGAUAUGGAUCACAAAUGGGUGGAUAUCCUGGUUACAUGGGUGGCCGUGGUGGUGGAAUGUAUGGAUACAUAUAAUACUUCAACAAAACGACUCUUUCCAUCCUCCUAUUAACAGAAACAAUAAAUAUAAAAAAUUGCUCAUUAAAAGUAUUAUGUGAAAUGAUCAUUAAAAUUGAAUAAAAUGAACUCUAUAUGAAUAA